CAUUUUAUUUUGCUUAUUUAUGUUGCAUUUGUGUUUUAACACUAAUACUAAUCGUCAAAUCUCCUAUCCUAUGGGUUCGACUUUUUGCUAUUUUCGAUAUCAAUAUUCAAUUGAAACCCGAUUAAUUUGUGAAAGACGCAAAACCCUAACUUUCUCUCUCCUUUGAGACGUAGCCACCAGCGUCGCGCCGUUCAUUUGGCCGGCGUGAAUCGUGAGGUGAGAUAUUGCUGUCGAAGAGCGCUUCGAUAACAUCCAUUUGACGCUGGUUUAGCUCCCGAAGAUGUCGACUUGCAGAACUACUUCCAAACUCUGACGCUAUAUAUGUUUGAAGAUUGGUCCUAGGAAGCUGCUGCUACCACCAUUAAAGCCUCGUUAAGGUAGUAAAUGGUGUUUCGCGGAGCUCGAUGAUGAAGAAACGAGCUAUCAACGCACAGAUCUGGAACUCUCGAUGUCUGAUUUUAUUUUAAAUGAGUCAUGGAACAGGCCACAGACCAGCACUUCCAGAAAGAUGGUCACUUCCAGCAGUGGGUGACAAAAAUGCCGUUUUCUGAACUGGUUUCUUGGGCAGUAAAUUCCAUUGGUGCUUACUGCUGGACUCUUUUUCAUUAGGUUGGUCCGCUUCCAUCUGAUUUUCAAUAAGUAACUCUUACAUGGCUAACUUUCAUAUUUUUAUCUUUUCUUUUUGUGACAUGUACUUUGAUCAUGUUUAUCUUGACUCCAUUGCUUUCUCAAACAUUAUUUCCGUAGACUAUUUGCAUUUCCUUGAUAGAACGGGAGCUAUUCUUGAAAUUAUCAUCAUUUGGUGAUGCUAAAUUGUUAAUGCUUGAUGUGUUGUCGUGCUUGUGUGUCUGUGUUUGAAAUAUCUGACACACUGUUGUUCUGUAGAGUUUUUAUACGAAAUAAAUAAAAAUAAAAACAAACUGGACAAAGGUUUAACAACUAGUUUUUGUUUACUUACAGAAAUUAUUAAAAUGAUUAUCUCUUCAAUGUUGGUGUUGUCUAAGGAUAAGAUUACCAUCUUUGUUUCUUGGUGAUCAAGGUAGAUCUAGCUAUUGAAAUGUUUCUCUCUUUUAUGUCAGUGGGAACUUCAACAAUUAGAUGUGUUAGAAUUUUGAUGACACUCAGAUUUAUUGUUAUACAUGGAACCUUUAGAAUGGAUGUUCUUGUUUUGUGGAAUAUGGUACUUGAUCGAGCAGGAUCAUUUGGCAGUAUGUGAGUGAAUCUAGAAGAUGGUACAAAAUUUUAGAUUCUGAUAAGUGUUUUAGACUUUGAUAUGUAACUUGUUGUGUGGAAUAAGACUACUUACUAUGAGAACACUUAAAAAUAAUUAGUACCAUAUGCUUUUUGAGAUGUAUAUGGUUAACUUUAUUUCUUAACAAAAAUGGGUAGUGGUUUAUGUGAGUACUAAAAGUGGGUUAAUUGCAAGUUUUGCGAUUGGUUGCAAUAUUUGAAAUAAUUGGUUUUAUUAGUAAAUUUUGUGAUUUUUUGAAUGAGUGGAUAAUGCUAGACUUGCGAAGUGGAGCACGAAGAUCGAAGAGGGAUAGUGAUCUUCAGUACCCUGCCCCCUUAAUUGAAUGACCAUGGUGAACAUUUUCUUACACCUACCCAAAACAAAACGGGGCGAGGAAGUGGUGGCAGAGGGAGAGGAGCAAGGGUUGUUAGGCAAGCUUGUGGUGUUGGUCGAGGUCGGCCUGUUAGAGUGAUAGAUUUAGACCCUGAUGUUCCGAAAUAAGGCCUUCCUCAAGUUCCGGAUAUAGCCACUCACAAUCAAGUGAAGGGUUCUAGUGGUAAAGAUAUUGCAAUGGAGUGAGGAAACAUAGAUAAGAUGGUGGCUUUUGAAGAGGAAUCUAAACUAACAUCUCGUACUGAAAUGGUAUAUUAUCGUUUCUUUUACAAUGGUUUGGAUCUUUGUCACUCCAAACGUCAUUACUAUCUCUGAGCUUUGAUCGAUCUGCUUGCUUGGAUCUUUGUCACUCAAACAGUGAACUUUCAGAUCAAUGUAUGUAUGUUUUUAAAAUGCAAUGCCCAAUUUCACUAAAGAAUUUACUUUUAUUUGACAGCCAUAUUCCAAACAGAUUUUCACCCUGGUUUCUUACUGUUGGAUUCUCACCUCACAACGGGUAUGAAAGACAUUGCAUCUGAUUUUAAGUUUCUCAUUUUAGGUUAUGUUUAUUUCGGUAUCCGAAGUUUGAAUGUAUGAUCGAUGUUGUAAUUUUUUAGCUUGAUGAGCUAAUUAGAGUUCAAAUAUGGUAUUACCAAUCACUUUAAAUGAUUACCUUUUUUGUUAA
Long non-coding RNA from Spinacia oleracea (spinach), 2288 nucleotides. RefSeq lists it as uncharacterized. The record is from RefSeq and is a predicted model, not a curated record. The transcript is spliced from 3 exons. Lineage: Eukaryota; Viridiplantae; Streptophyta; Magnoliopsida; Caryophyllales; Amaranthaceae.